AGAAGAAGCAAAAUAAUCAUAUUUCUGAAGAUCCAGAGGAUCCAGGGGAAGACACUUCUCUCAACUCAAACACAGAUGGAGCAGGUGAACGGGACACAGGUGAAUCCUUACCUGUUGUGGUCGACACAAACCUUUCAGUGGACAAUGAAGAAGGAGCUGUACAUGGAGCUUGACGGGAUGGUGAUGAACAUGAACGUACAAGACAUUGUGUGGAGUCACAAGACAACAAGAGCUGAGCCUGCCAUUGAGACAAGUCAGCAUCAUACAGAAGAAGAAGCAGCUCUUCUCUGAGAUGAGCUGAACCUCAGAUGCUCAAACACAGAGACAGUGCUUCUAGAACUUAUUCUUUACGUACUAGUGUUUAUUUGUAUUAAUGAUUAUUUUAUUAAUUAUACAAUUAACCUUUCAGACCAGAGAUAUCCUGAACUUAAAAGAUACUAGUACUUUUUAAAUUAGCAUUUCUGCCCAGUUUGAUAAUCAUGUUGAAUAUUAAUGAGCCAGCAACAUAUAGGAGAGAGAUUAAAGCGGAAACUGGAACAAGGGGAUGGAUGUACUUUUUUGAGAAAACCAAGUAGAAAAGAAACAAUUAUUUGUACACAAGCACAUAGAAAACUUAUAUUUGUCAGUUUUGUAAACGCUAUAAAUUUCGUAAAUAUAGUAGUCUUAUGUGUAGUCUUUGAGUGACCUCUGCUGGCAAGAUGGAGAUAAGACACCAAUUUAAUUAGAUGUUAUUUUCCCUUUUGUCCUCCAGUAAAAACAAUAAAUAACAUACCAUAUCA
Molecule: long non-coding RNA, 779 nt
Organism: Carassius gibelio (silver crucian carp)
Lineage: Eukaryota; Metazoa; Chordata; Actinopteri; Cypriniformes; Cyprinidae
Exons: 2
Source: RefSeq, a predicted model, not a curated record